Molecule: long non-coding RNA, 7111 nt
Organism: Cygnus olor (mute swan)
Lineage: Eukaryota; Metazoa; Chordata; Aves; Anseriformes; Anatidae
Exons: 10
Source: RefSeq, a predicted model, not a curated record
ACACCUCGCCCCGGCUGGGAGCUCUGCCCUCGGGGUGAGGCUGAUGCCCCGUGGCUGUCCUCUGGGCACAUCGCGCCGGGCGGCCUGGGGACACCGAGGAUGCCGCUUUGUACUGGAGCCCAAUCUCUCUGACAUUCCUCUAUCAAUGAUUAAUUUCCUCUGAUCCUCUUGCUGCAGUGCAUUAGACAGUUGAAGCCAAAAUGUAAAAGAGCAGCAAAAUGCCCCAUGGGCCACAAGAGGAACAGGCAAACAGAGAACAGAUCAGACCUGGAGUGAUUGGCGCUCUGGGCAGAGCGUCCUGCAAGAUCAGCUGCCUUUGGGGUUAUAAGGCACAGGCAUGGUGUGGAGUGAGGAGGGAGGGAGGUCAGGGUUUCCCUGGGAUCAGAGAUUGAGAACUCAGAUUUUUUUUUAUGGAAAGGGACAUCACAGGAAAGUGCUGGCUUCCAUGAGACUCCCCAAGUGAGCUUUGUUGGGGGCCAUCCGAAAUUGCAGAAAUAGGAUUCUAAAUUUCCAUUUUAGAACAUUUUACAAAUAUUCUUAGUUCUAUAACAAAGAAUUCAGGAUAACAUGUGAAACUCCUCCAUUUGUUGUUUGUUUGCUUGUUUUUGCAUGUAAAAUUGUAGAAAUCUUGACCUUACUUCUUGGGAUAAACUGGAGAAGGACCAAGUCUCAAUUUUGUUCCCUACUCCAGGACAAAAAAUUUUCCACGUAUCUAUCGGGUCAUCCUUAUCUGAACGUCACAGUUCAGUCACUUAGCACUUUGGCUAUUUUAGCCACUUUUUUAGCAUCUAUCUCCCAUCCAUUGUUCUCCAUUUCUACAGCAGAGCAAUUUUCUCCCCUCACGGCACAGUCGUACUGCUGCUUUCCUAUGUGCAAAGUGCUCUGACAUCUCUGCAUAGGAGGUGCAGCUCAGUGCAAAGUUCUCUGUUACACAUGAGAAAAUAAUUUGCAAUUAAGUUAUUGGAUGAAUUCCUCUUUUGUUCUGUCUGAAAAUGGCCUGUGAGCAGAUUGCUAAAUUCUCAAACGAUUCAUUACAACAAAUUGUUUGUGAGUUUCUUGCCUAAAUAAUUCCUGGUCUGACUAGAACAAACAGUUCACAACGCGUGGCUGGAAUUCGUAAUUGCCGAGUUCCUUGAGUGGAUGGUGCAGGGCAGGAGGUUGGCCACUCACUCUGGACUGCAAGCAGCGGAAGAUGUGGUGGAAAACUUGCUGUUGGAUCUGUGCUUUAAUUCUGAGAUGUCUGGUUCAGAUCUGAGUGCUCGUUUUCUUGAGGGGUCGAGCCCAAGGAGUUGAGGAUAGGUGGUUAAACCUCGCUGUCCGGUGGGUAUUUGCAGAGGGGAGGCAGCUGUGUGAGGUAAGGCCGUGUGCUGGGUUUGGGGAGGGCAGCGUUAUCCCCACUAAAUGAUCUCUUUAAAGCUCCCAAAUAGUGUGAGUGGGAGGAGAUCGGGGGAGCGAAGCUACGGACAAUCCUUUGGCUGAGGAGGAAAAGGGAGCAAACCGAGUGCCGUGCCACCAGGACCCGAGGUACGAGGCAGCCCGAGGAUGAAGAGGAUGGGAAGGUGGCACCGGGGCUGGCCCUGUGCCUUGUGUCUGGUGGCACUCUUGGAGGCAGAGCCCGUGGCUGCCAAAUCGCCACCGGCCUGGCCAGCUGGUCAGUGGUACAGGGGCUGGAAAACGGACACGAGCAUAGCAGCAAACAUCACCGACCGCCAGCAGCUGGAAGGGCUGGGCUCAGUGCUGUGCCCCUGGCAGCCCCCACCGUCAUCGCUGCGGUCCCAGUGCCGAGCGCCUCGUGGGCAGCUGUCAGACACUGCCGUCUGCAUGCCUCCGCUCGUGGUACUUGGAGACCGCGCAGGAUGAAAAAAAUGCCAAUUUUUACUUUAUUGCGUUCUGUUGGUUUCUAGCUGUGGUGGUUUUGUUGCCUGAGCCGGUAUAAAGGCUGGCUGGAGCAUUUUCUCCUCUGUGCUUUAAGUCUUGCUUUCACACCAUUCUUCUUGUUCGGAAGAGCUGUUUGUGGCCCUACUAACACAAAAAGUGGGCACCAGCUAAUGAAGGUGGGACUAGUGCUGAUUUUCUUGUCUCUGGUCUGACUGUCCCCAACUUGUCCCUGUUAAAACAGACCUGGUCACAUACACAACAGUGCUCACUCUGUCCAUGUUUUGGCUGUCCUUGUAAACGAGCGCAGCGCUCAGACCAACUGCACUGGCAUCAACGAUUAGUUCAUUCUGUGUUAAUAAAAAUAAGCUGAGAGCAUCAGACGUUACCGUGGCUUUUAGAAGCACCCCGGCGUCCCAGCGCCUAUCAGCCUGUCCCUAUGGCUGACCUCUGUUCGCUGAUCUGCUUCGUGUCUGUGGGAUGCUUGCUAAGUCUGGAGCGAGCCAGGAACGGCAGUUGGUGAAACCCAGAAGAUUUCUUGCUCCUAAGACGUCUUUGGCUCGGUGGCAGCUUCCGUCUCCGCUGCCUGGCUUGGGAAGCAUUGCGGUGGCCGUCCGCGCAGGGUCGGUUUCCAUCUUGUGUGCAGCUCCCCUGGUACUGGGACGUCUCUCUUCCCAUGGAGCUGCAGGAUUUGUGUGUCAGUGAUUCAUCUGGGAGAUGGCAGCCCUGCAGCAGAGCCUGGUUGAAGAGGAGAUGGAGGACAGGAGGACCUGUUAGUCCUCCAUCAGAAUGUGAAUGCAUGGAGUUCCUAGAAACACGACCGAGGUGCGCCUCUGGGCCAGCUCUGCAGGACAUCUGUGAUGAGUGUGUUGGGAGUGAAAAGCAAACACCCGUUAGCUGGGUACGAGAGUGCAAAGCCAGUGUCUGUACUCAGCUGUCUUUGCUCAAUGUCUGGAUUUAGGAGGCAAAAGGUUCUCUGCACUGGAAAGGAGACACUUGUGUUAUAUGCUGAUGUAUGUACACAAUAACUCACCUCUAGCUCAUGCUGAAUUUACAGAUAAACCCUUCUCUUUCCCGGGUUGCUUGCAACAAGCUGCACAAAUCCUGAUGGCCUUAAACACACUAACCUGGGCCUCGGUGGAGCUGCUCACAGGCUGAAAAUUAAACAACAUUCCAAACAGUUUACUUUGAAAGCCAGCAGCAAGGCUAAAAGCCUCCAUCUCGCCUGUUUUAUCUGAAGGGAAUAGCAAAAGGAAGACAUUCCCGUUGUAGUCCCAAGGCUAAUGAGCAAAGAGGUGCUGGAGCCAAACAACGAUAAUAGCAGGUACAGCAGAAACACACAAACAUUACCCCAGAUUCGAGGGCGGCUUAGCUGGCAAGCCCUUUGUCCAGCUGUCCCUUUGUCCAUCUGUCCAUCUGUCCAUCUAGUCUUGCUUUGCCCAACAUCUGUCUGUGUUGGGCAAAGCAGGACUAAAUGCAACUGUGAGCACCGUUGCUCCUUGUCGUGGGGAAAGCAGAUGCAUUUGCUUCGUGAUAAUAGCUUACAGGAAGAAAGUGUUAUGUAUUAUUUCCCCCCACCGAAGUGCAGCCUGGAGAAGCCACAGCUCUUUGUGGUUUCACAUAAUGCAUGUGAAAGUCAGGUGUGGUUGCUGAAGAGCGUGCAAUUAAGUAGUGCUUGAGGAAACUGAGCCAUGGAAGUUGUUGGGGUUUUGGGGGCUUGAUUUUUUUCAAACAAACCUUUAAAUGUUGGUUAACUCCUUACAAAGUGGCUCCAAGCCAAGUCCUGCUCCUCUGGACAGGGAAGCUUUAGGAUUCACCGAGGAAUGGAAAUUGUUGGUAUUUCUUUGGAGUCUCUUCCAUGCCUUUUAUUCAAAAGUGAAAGAAUUAAAAUAAAUAGGACUCCUUUUUGUGCCUCUCUCUCCAGACAAAAAUAUUUUUGUAAUAACAAAAACGUUACGUAUAUACGGAUUCAGUGCUGUUUUUCUACAAACACAUCGGCCUACAGAGGCUCUGCUGUGGGCAGGGGUGACUGGCAUGGCAGUGGCAGUCACUAGUGGCAGUCAUUAGGUGUGGCAGCAGAAGUUCUCUCCUGAGGUUUGAUUUUGGGGACAAAAAUAACCACAACCGGCAACUCAUGAAAAAAAUCAAUUUUUCCUGCUCUGUGCAGCCCCCAAAAGCUUUUUUGCUAGCCCUAUAGACACUGCUGAUCUUGGGGGGGGGGGUGUUUGGCUGCCUUCGGGACCAUGCAGGGCUUGGAAAAGCCAGAUUUAUGCUGGGUACAGGAGUCCUGGUGUGUGCGUGGAAGAGGCUGAGCCCUGGGACAGAGCAGGGCUCCAAGGAGGCAUCUCUUCUGGAUCUCUUGUAUUCUCUCACCCCAGCAGGAACCAACCCUGUGGCUACUGGAAAAAAAAAAUGUAAAAGAUGUCAUUUCUCUUUGGGACCUUACUUUUGACUCUGCCCAUAAAUGGAGAGGUUCUGAACCAAAGCUCUUCCCACAGGGAACCAGCGAGUUCAGGGUGUUUGUUUAUGGCCUCGUCACUAAUAAAACCACAUCGGCUUUUAAAAACAGCCCCUGUGCCUUAUGAAAACAGGCGGGGAGUGAUGCAGAAGGCGGGGAAUGAGCCUGGAAAAGGAGCCCAUUUUUUCUCUGACAUGAAAUGUAUUAUUUCUCUGCCUGCUGUGAUGUUUGUGUAGGCUCCAGGACCUCUGCUUCACACCGUGCAGAGCCCAGGAGACGCAGCACCGCUGACCUGUGGAGCUCAAAACACCACAAGUCCUAAAUUAGAGUGAGCAAAGGAAGAAGAGGGCGGGCUGCAGUCUUGCUGAAACAUCAGGCAAACAGACAGAGAGCAGCCUGCUUGUGUGAGAGCUGCAGUGUCGCUGUUAGUCACAGCUUUUACCCAGACUGGAGCAGAGAAAAAGAAAUUCUCAAGUCCUCCAAGUGUUCCUCUAAUGUGAACUGCUUGUGUUUUGAGGAAAAAAAUUACAGAAGCAGACAAAGAGGAGUAAAUUAUUUUAACUCACUUAUAUGUGAAUGAAAUACUGCUCCUGCCUGAAGGCUCUGCAUUGUGCGAUACCAAAAUGCCUGGGGAAGGGGCUGCUCCAUCACGGCCGUGCUACCAGCUGGAGGAGAACGCGAUGGCAGGGGAAAUAAAAGCAGACCCUGCAAGAGGCUUACAUAGCGCUGAGAGGCGAAGACGCAAGUUCCCACCAGCCAGACCCCUUAAGGACUGAAGACAACCUAGGCAUCCCACAUCAAAAAGCAGCACUAGGAGACGAACUUGCAACACAUCAUGAGGACCAUGCUAAAGAGACCCAUCACCCUUAUAAUAAAAUCUAGCUGGUUUUCCUCAGCACAUCUAUGGAAAGCAACUCUUAAGAAAUCUGUGAUCAGAGUGGAGCCUGUGGGGCUUUAACUGUGCAGUUGCCAUCGCAUCAAUGUGACUAAAGCCCUGGAUUUCACAAUGAGGAUUGAAGUCCCCAGAAAAUCUGCACUUCAUGAAGGAAUGUUAGAUUAACAAUGAGCACUGUUAAAAAACAAAACAAACAGAACGACAAAAAAACCCUACUGAGUAAGUAAUGACACUGUAUUUCUAUUACAUAAACCUGGUCGCAACCCUGGUUUUAAACACACUGGCCUCCAGAGCCAGCUGAAAAGCAGGAACAUUAUUUUGACUGAAAUAUUUCAACCAGCUCUCACUGCUACAAGCUUUCCUAAAACUACAGCUCUCAUGGCUGUCGAGAUCAAGAAGAAAAAAAGAAAGGGAGGUGUGAGGGGAGGAAGGCCUUUUCUUAAUAAAGGCAGCUUCAGUUAGUAAGAUAACAUAAUCUUCAAGCUGCAAAAGCAGCACCUACUAAUUAGUCAUUGACUAAAACAUAAAUAAUAAAUACCUAAAUUGUUCCUUCUAUGCAUCCAUUUUCAUGCCAGAUAAACAUUUCAAUGCUCUGCCUUAAUGCCAGCACAGCUGACACCGCAAUUUCAAGUCCAAAGCAAACUGCAAGUAGCUUUAAACCAAUACUACGGAGAGAGAACAAGCCGCUGGGAUCUCUGUGUCACGGUCAUCUUGCAAGUGUUGUUUAAAAGGGAAUUCAUCCUUUCUGUGUGAUGCGAUUACAGAAUGAUUUAAGGGUCUAUUUCCCUCCUGAUGUGGAAGCUUAACUCUCAUCAGCAGGAAUGAAAGUUAGACAUACCCACAGAAGGGUAAACAGAUACCUGGCUUUAUUAAAUCAACAGGAUUUUUUUUCCUAGUGAACCCAAUAGCUUCUAAUAGCCUUUCUGGGUCAAGAGAUUACCACAGCAACAGAAACAAAGUGCAUGUUUUAUGCAAAUGCAAAAUGCAUCAGUUGGAGAUGAAUUUGCACAUAAAACCUACAUUUAAAAAAGUUUUUGGAAUGUAAAUGCAUUUUUUCCUACUGUAGAAAAUGCAGCUUAAAAUGAUGCAAUACAAGCGUAUUUCAAACAGGGUGCAGCCUGCUAGAAACUCUGAAAACAGACAAGAAUAGAGUUUGUUGAGAGAAUAAAGCAAAAGCACUGAGAAACAUGGUGUUGCUCUUUCACGUCCAGCUUUGGUCAGGAACCCUGAUGUCCUGCACAGCCUUCAAGGUGUCCUGAAAAGCCUAAAAAUACUCUUCUUCAUGAAGAGCUGGCAGAGCUGAGAUCAAGGCAGGAAAUUAGUGUUAAAACUUAUUAGCCACUACUCAAUUAUAGGGAAGAAAUGUGUUGCUGCAGAUUCAGGUCCCAAUCUUGUUUACACUGAUAAAAAUAAUUGCCAACUCUAAACUACAAAGGCCAAAUGCCACCAUUUUACUGGUUCUGAGCAACUCUGCUGCCUGAGAAAAAACAACUCAGCUCAUCAGCAAACGCGUGAGCAGACACAGCCCAACCUACCCAAAUUUACACACACACUUGCUGUUCAGGAAGUCUGCAAUAUGCAUAGGUGCUGGUGGGCUUAGAAAUACCCUGCAGAUUUCAAAGGGCUGAAAUCCAAAAUGCUUCUUGGGCUUUUAAAAUAAUACUGCUACUACCCAGACCCUGAACCUGACUGCAUGAGAAAUGAAAGACUAAUAUUCCAAAACACCAGUUCCAUUUAGAGUUUAGCAUGAAAUUAGUCUGAAAAUUCUCUGAAUGUAAUCUGAACGUCUCUGCUUCAGCUUGCAUUCCCUAACUAGGAUGACACCAGACAUUAGCUGAGUCCAGAAUUGCUUUGUGUUAUAUAUAAAAAAAAAUGAGGGUGUA